RNAcentral lists this ribosomal RNA (301 nucleotides) under uncultured bacterium. RNAcentral's name for it is "partial 16S ribosomal RNA". It matches the Rfam family "Bacterial small subunit ribosomal RNA", at positions 509 to 807 of the family's 1533-position model. The record is from RNAcentral.
CAGCCGCCACGGUAAAACGAAGGGGGCUAGCGUUGUUCGGAUUUACUGGGCGUAAAGCGCACGUAGGCGGAUCCUUAAGUCAGAGGUGAAAUCCCAAGGCUCAACCUUGGAACUGCCUUUGAUACUGGGGAUCUCGAGUUCGGGAGAGGUGAGUGGAACUGCGAGUGUAGAGGUGAAAUUCGUAGAUAUUCGCAAGAACACCAGUGGCGAAGGCGGCUCACUGGCCCGAUACUGACGCUGAGGUGCGAAAGCGUGGGGAGCAAACAGGAUUAGAUACCCGAGUAGUCCCUGUCUCUUAUAC